GAUGAACGCUGGCGGCGUGCCUAAUACAUGCAAGUCGAGCGAACAGACGAGGAGCUUGCUCCUCUGACGUUAGCGGCGGACGGGUGAGUAACACGUGGAUAACCUACCUAUAAGACUGGGAUAACUUCGGGAAACCGGAGCUAAUACCGGAUAAUAUAUUGAACCGCAUGGUUCAAUAGUGAAAGGCGGUUUUGCUGUCACUUAUAGAUGGAUCCGCGCCGCAUUAGCUAGUUGGUAAGGUAACAGCUUACCAAGGCAACGAUGCGUAGCCGACCUGAGAGGGUGAUCGGCCACACUGGAACUGAGACACGGUCCAGACUCCUACGGGAGGCAGCAGUAGGGAAUCUUCCGCAAUGGGCGAAAGCCUGACGGAGCAACGCCGCGUGAGUGAUGAAGGUCUUCGGAUCGUAAAACUCUGUUAUUAGGGAAGAACAAAUGUGUAAGUAACUAUGCACGUCUUGACGGUACCUAAUCAGAAAGCCACGGCUAACUACGUG
Molecule: ribosomal RNA, 497 nt
Filed under: uncultured bacterium
Lineage: Bacteria
Description: partial 16S ribosomal RNA
Rfam family: Bacterial small subunit ribosomal RNA
Source: RNAcentral